CCUACGGGAGGCAGCAGUAGGGAAUCUUCCGCAAUGGACGAAAGUCUGACGGAGCAACGCCGCGUGAACGAUGAAGGCUUUCGGGUCGUAAAGUUCUGUUGUCAGGGAAGAACAAGUACUGGAGUAACUGCCGGUACCUUGACGGUACCUGACCAGAAAGCCACGGCUAACUACGUGCCAGCAGCCGCGGUAAUACGUAGGUGGCAAGCGUUGUCCGGAAUUAUUGGGCGUAAAGCGCGCGCAGGCGGUUCCUUAAGUCUGAUGUGAAAGCCCCCGGCUCAACCGGGGAGGGUCAUUGGAAACUGGGGAACUUGAGUGCAGAAGAGGAGAGCGGAAUUCCACGUGUAGCGGUGAAAUGCGUAGAGAUGUGGAGGAACACCAGUGGCGAAGGCGGCUCUCUGGUCUGUAACUGACGCUGAGGCGCGAAAGCGUGGGGAGCGAACAGGAUUAGAUACCCUGGUAGUCCACGCCGUAGACGAUGAGUGCUAAGUGUUAGAGGGUUUCCGCCCUUUAGUGCUGUAGCAAACGCAUUAAGCACUCCGCCUGGGGAGUACGGCCGCAAGGCUGAAACUCAAAGGAAUUGACGGGGGCCCGCACAAGCGGUGGAGCAUGUGGUUUAAUUCGAAGCAACGCGAAGAACCUUAC
Molecule: ribosomal RNA, 645 nt
Filed under: uncultured Bacillus sp.
Lineage: Bacteria; Bacillati; Bacillota; Bacilli; Caryophanales; Bacillaceae
Description: bacterial SSU rRNA
Rfam family: Bacterial small subunit ribosomal RNA
Source: RNAcentral